AUCAAAUUUUUAUAUGAAUUUUAAAACGUUCUUGUCAGAUGAAUCACAAUCUGUGAUAAAUGACAGUAGGUGUCACUUUAUAAAAACGUAUGAAGACUUAUAUAAGUUUCGUUGCAUUAAUCAAAUCCAAACAUUGCCAGAAAUUAAUAAUUAUUUAAACAAAGACAAACAAACAAACACUAUGAAUAAUGCAUUUUUAUCUAAUAAUAAUGCGAGUAGUAGUAGUAGUAUUAGUAGUAGUAGUAGUAGUAGUAAAAGUAGUAGUAAAAGUAGCAACAACAGUGGUAACAGCGGUAAUACCAAUAAACAAAGUUGCGAUGUUAAUUCAUUAACUUCUACUGAAAAAGAACAAAAAAUAUUUCCAUGUGGUUUAGUGUCUGCAUCUAUAUUUAAUGAUAAAAUUAAAAUAUCACAUAACACCACCAGUUAUGUUAUAAACAAAUCGUAUAACGUUAAACAUUAUGAUUUUUUUUCUUAUAUUAAAAAACAUAAAAUUUUUUUUAAUAAAGCAGAUUGUAAAGUAUGGUUAAAUACAUUUUCUCCUGAGUACAAAAAUUGGUUUAAUCCACCCAUGACAUCUUCAUUUAUAAAGCUAUACGGUGCAAUCGAUGAAGAUAUAGAACCUGGUAGUAAUUAUAAAAUAACUUUUACUCAAAAUACCUGGCCAGCUGAAUAUUGGAAAGCUAGCAAAUCAUUUUUAUUAGUUUCGUUAAGAGCUUUUGGUAAUGAGUCAUAUGAAUUAGCUUACGCUUUUUUUAUGUUAGCCUUUAUACAUAUCAUUAUUAUUAUUAUUAUUUUAAUUUUUGUUAAAUGUGAAUUCCGAAGAUUGGGAAAAACAUUUGCUUAUUGUAACAUGCAUAUGAUAACUACACCUACAAGUGGUAACACUUCAAGUGAACCAUAUAAUCCUAUGCAAGUAUGUCUCCCUGAACAAUUUGAAAUUAAUAAUGAAAAAAAUAAUGCCUAUACAAAAAAUCUAAUUCUUAAAACUGCUAAAAAAGGGGUAUGUUUCUGUCCGUUGCAUUAAGUUUUUUUUUUUUUUUUUUUUUUUUUUUUUACCAUUUGAUGACUAUUGCGUGGGCUAUAAUGUUAGCUACUGCUGCUUUAGCCAUUAUGUGGUUAUUCUUAUGACCACUUUUAUUUGUUUAUUUGUUUGCUUGUUUGUUUUUUUUUUAUGGUCCUUUUGUUAGCUACUUUUUUAAUUUGUUUUUUUUUUUUCUUAAUUUUGCUUAUGUG
RNAcentral lists this long non-coding RNA (1236 nucleotides) under Piliocolobus tephrosceles (Ugandan red Colobus). RNAcentral describes it as "lncRNA (ENSPTEG00000012343.1)". Lineage: Eukaryota; Metazoa; Chordata; Mammalia; Primates; Cercopithecidae. The record is from RNAcentral.